RNAcentral lists this ribosomal RNA (358 nucleotides) under uncultured bacterium. Its description in RNAcentral is "bacterial SSU rRNA". It matches the Rfam family "Bacterial small subunit ribosomal RNA", at positions 8 to 353 of the family's 1533-position model. The record is from RNAcentral.
AGAGUUUGAUCAUGGCUCAGGAUGAACGCUAGCUACAGGCUUAACACAUGCAAGUCGAGGGGAAACGACAUCGAAAGCUUGCUUUUGAUGGGCGUCGACCGGCGCACGGGUGAGUAACGCGUAUCCAACCUGCCCACCACUUGGGGAUAACCUUGCGAAAGUAAGACUAAUACCCAAUGAUAUCUCUAGAAGACAUCUGAAAGAGAUUAAAGAUUUAUCGGUGAUGGAUGGGGAUGCGUCUGAUUAGCUUGUUGGCGGGGUAACGGGCCCACCAAGGCGACGAUCAGUAGGGGUUCUGAGAGGAAGGCCCCCCACCAUUGGAACUGAGACACGGUCCAGACUCCUACGGGAGGCAGCA